GGCCCGCACAAGCGGUGGAGUAUGUGGUUUAAUUCGACGCAACGCGCAGAACCUUACCCAGUCUUGACAUCCUCGGAACUUCUGUGAAAGCAGAAGGUGCCUCCUCACGGAGGAAUCGAGUGACAGGUGCUGCAUGGCUGUCGUCAGCUCGUGUCGUGAGAUGUUCGGUUAAGUCCGGCAACGAGCGCAACCCCUGUCGUUAGUUGCCAGCAAUUCGGUUGGGCACUCUAGCGAGACUCCCGGUGUUAAGCCGGCGGAAGAUGGGGAUGACGUCAAGUCCUCAUGGCCCUUAUGACUGGGGCUACACACGUACUACAAUGGCAACUACAGAGGGCAGCGAACCAGCGAUGGUAAGCCAAUCCCAAAAAAGUUGCCUCAGUUCGGAUUGGAGUCUGCAACUCGACUCCAUGAAGUUGGAAUCGCUAGUAAUCGC
This 433-nucleotide ribosomal RNA is filed under the name uncultured bacterium. Its description in RNAcentral is "bacterial SSU rRNA". It matches the Rfam family "Bacterial small subunit ribosomal RNA", at positions 918 to 1345 of the family's 1533-position model. The record is from RNAcentral.